RNAcentral lists this ribosomal RNA (493 nucleotides) under uncultured bacterium. RNAcentral's name for it is "partial 16S ribosomal RNA". It matches the Rfam family "Bacterial small subunit ribosomal RNA", at positions 29 to 508 of the family's 1533-position model. The record is from RNAcentral.
AGUGAACGCUGGCGGUAGGCCUAACACAUGCCAGUCGAACGGCAGCACAGUAAGAGCUUGCUCUUACGGGUGGCGAGUGGCGGACGGGUGAGGAAUACAUCGGAAUCUACUUUUUCGUGGGGGAUAACGUAGGGAAACUUACGCUAAUACCGCAUACGACCUACGGGUGAAAGCAGGGGAUCUUCGGACCUUGCGCGAUUGAAUGAGCCGAUGUCGGAUUAGCUAGUUGGCGGGGUAAAGGCCCACCAAGGCGACGAUCCGUAGCUGGUCUGAGAGGAUGAUCAGCCACACUGGAACUGAGACACGGUCCAGACUCCUACGGGAGGGAGCAGUGGGGAAUAUUGGACAAUGGGCGCAAGCAUGAUCCAGCCAUACCGCGUGGGUGAAGAAGGCCUUCGGGUUGUAAAGGCCUUUUGUUGGGAAAGAAAAGCAGCAGGUUAAUACCCCGCUGUUCUGACGGUACCCAAAGAAUAAGCACCGGCUAACUUCGUGC